GAUGAAGAACGUAGCGAAAUGCGAUAAGUAAUGUGAAUUGCAGAAUUCAGUGAAUCAUCGAAUCUUUGAACGCACAUUGCGCCCGACAGUAUUCUGGCGGGCAUGCCUGUUCGAGCGUCAUUACGCCCCUCAAGUCCCCUGUGGACUUGGUGUUGGGGAUCGGCGAGGCUGGUUUUCCAGCACAGCCGUCCCUUAAAUUAAUUGGCGGUCUCGCCGUGGCCCUCCUCUGCGCAGUAGUAAAACACUCGCAACAGGAGCCCGGCGCGGUCCACUGCCGUAAAACCCCCCAACUUUUUAUAGUUGACCUCGAAUCAGGUAGGACUACCCGCUGAACUUAAGCAUAUCAAUAAGCGGAGGA
This 358-nucleotide unclassified non-coding RNA is filed under the name soil metagenome. Its description in RNAcentral is "partial contains 5.8S ribosomal RNA, internal transcribed spacer 2, and large subunit ribosomal RNA". The stretch from base 1 to 120 matches the Rfam family "5.8S ribosomal RNA", at positions 35 to 154 of the family's 154-position model. The record is from RNAcentral.